Molecule: long non-coding RNA, 553 nt
Organism: Tupaia belangeri chinensis (Chinese tree shrew)
Lineage: Eukaryota; Metazoa; Chordata; Mammalia; Scandentia; Tupaiidae
Exons: 2
Source: RefSeq, a predicted model, not a curated record
GCCCCGUGCUUGCACGGACUCUAGGGGCCUGCGCUGUGGUGGAAUUAGCCCUCCCUCCCGCCGGGGCCUUGGCCCGGGCUCGAUUCUGGGCUGUGGGCAUAGGAAAGGCUUGCCAGGCGCCGGCCAGGGCCCUGGACUCUGCAGGGCUCCAGCUUCCUGGGCGCUGAUGGACGAACUCGGCGUUCAAAUCUGUUACUUGGCAGGGGCCGCAGCCGGGCCAUGCUCGGCUCACACAGAUCUCCGCCGGUCUUUCCAGUGCGACGCUAUUCGCAGCUUCGAAGCAAGAACUGAUACCAACGCCCGUGUAAAGGCGAGUUACUGUCCACUCCGUGUCUUGGCAAGAGAACAGUGAGCACGCAGAUCCCUGCUUGAGGCUGAUGUCGGCCCAGCUCUGAUAUGCUGCAGUCCAUGCCAGCCCCGCCAACCUGCCCUUCUGGGGGUCUCUGUGCUACCUACCCAAGGACUUUGAAGGCAGCAGGGAGGCUCACCCUAUGACCUGUCACUGAUCUGAUUACUUCUAUCUCUCUGAGAAAUAAAACUUUUUUUCCCCAGA